CAGUAGCCGCGGUAAUACGUAGGUGGCAAGCGUUGUCCGGAACUAUUGGGCGUAAAGCGCGCGCAGGCGGAUCAGUUAGUCUGUCUUAAAAGUUCGGGGCUUAACCCCGUGAGGGGAUGGAAACUGCUGAUCUAGAGUAUCGGAGAGGAAAGUGGAAUUCCUAGUGUAGCAAUGAAAUGCGUGGAUGUUAGGAAGAACACCAGUGGCGAAGGCGACUUUCUGGACGAAAACUGACGCUGAGGCGCGAAAGCCAGGGGAGCGAACGGGAUUAGAUACCCGCGUAGUCCCUGUCUCUUAUACC
This 301-nucleotide ribosomal RNA is filed under the name uncultured bacterium. RNAcentral describes it as "partial 16S ribosomal RNA". It matches the Rfam family "Bacterial small subunit ribosomal RNA", at positions 509 to 808 of the family's 1533-position model. The record is from RNAcentral.